AGAUGGACACAGCAUGCAUGAAUAUGGAUAGACUGACAUGGGAUGGAUGGAUACAGGGCGGGUGGACACGAGGUGGGAUGACGUGGGACGGGCAGACAUAGGAUGGAAGGGUAUGGAUAGAUGGACGUGGGACAGGUGGACACUGGGUGGAUAUGGGAUGGGCAGACAAGGGGUGGUGGAUGGACAUGGGUGGACAGAUAUGGGAUGGAUGGAAUAUGGGAUGGGCAGACAUGGGAUGGAUGGACAUGGGAUGGACAGAUAUGGGAUAGGUAGAAAUGGGAUGGAUGGAUAUGGGAUGGACAGACAUGGGAUGGAUGGACAUGGGAUGGACAGAUAUGGGAUGGACAGAUAUGGGAUGGAUGGGCAUGGGAUGGACAGAUAUGGGAUAGGUAGAAAUGGGAUGGAUGGAUAUGGGAUGGACAGACAUGGGAUGGAUGGACAUGGGAUGGACAGAUAUGGGAUGGACAGAUAUGGGAUGGAUGGGCAUGGGAUGGACAGAUAUGGCAUGGGUAGAAAUGGAUGGAUAUGGGAUGGAUGGACAUGGGAUGGAUGGAAUAUGGGAUGGGCAGACAUGGGAUGGAUGGAUAUGGGAUGGAUGGAUGGAUAUGAAUGGAUGGGUAGGCAUUGGGUGGACCUGCGAUGGGUGGACAUGGGAUGGAUGGUAUGGGAUGGAUGGAUAUGGGAUGGAUGGGUAUGGGAUGGAUGGACACAGUGGAUGGAUAGAUAUGAAGGGAUGGGUAGACAUUGGGUGGACUUGGGAUCGGUGGACAUGGGAUGGAUGGGUAUGGGAUGGAUGGACAUGGGAUGGAUGGGUAUGGAAUGAUGGAUAUGGGCUUGAUGGAUAUGGGAUGGAUGGACAUGAAAAGCUAACAAGGGCCAGAUGGACGUGGGGGGGUGGCCCAGCACCCCACCUCCCUCCUCGCACCCAUCAGUGCUGCGGUACCCCCACCCAGCACCCACCCGCCCCAUCCCCGCACCCCCCGUGCCCCACAUCCCCCUCCCCACGGCGCCCAUCCAUGCUGGCUUUUCCGGCCCAGCUGUCCCGCGGGGCGCGGGGGCCGGGGCAGGAAUUCGGCCGGGGCUGAGCAGCGCGCGGCAGCUCCGGAGACAGAGCAGCCUCUGAAUGCAGGGAAUGUUUUUGCAGCUGGAGUCCAUUAGGGGAGGGCUCGGCGGCUUUAUUAAUCCCAGCCUUAUUGCUCAAGAGGCGCGGGAGGGCAGGGGGAGCGCGGGGUGCGCGCAGGGGGGGAGAGCGGCCGUGAGGGGGGGUGUGGGGGGCAUAAAGAGCAGUGAGUGUGCGAGGAGGGUCUCCCUGACGACGGCCGUCCCUCCGCCGCGGGGCUUUUCUGCACCACGGAGGCUGCCCCUCUGCAGAGGUUUCCCCGCAGUGGAGGUUUCCCCCGUUAUGGAGCCGUCCCCGUGACGGAGGUUUCCCCAUCACUGAGGUUCCCCCACGGUGGGGUUCCCUCUAUGGCAGAGGUUCCCCCGUUCUGGGCACUCCCGCACGGCAGAUGGUGGAAAUAUCCUCCUGGUGAAGGUCUCCCCAAUCGCGGAGGUUCCUCCCUGCUGGAGGUGUCCCCACAGCGGAGGUUUGUCCUACAGUGGAGCUUUCCUCCUUGAUGGAGCCUUCCCCGCUGAUGGACGUUCCCCCAUUAUUGAGGCUCCCCCACGAUGGAGGCUUCUUCACAGUAGGGUCCCACCGAGAUGGAGGUCCCCCAUCGGUUUCCCCGUGACAGAGGUUUCCCAUAACCGGGGUUCCCCUGUGGUGGAGGUUUCCCCAUUAGGGAUGUUUCCCCGUCACUGAGGUUUCUCUGCAAUGGAGGAUCCCAUUGAUGGAGGGUCCCCUUAACGGAGCUUCCUCCCAUGAUGGAGGCUCCACUGAUGGAGGUUCCCCCAUUGAUAGAGGUUCCCCCAUUGAUGGAGGUACUCCCCAUAAGCGCGGUUCCCACUGACUGAGGUUCCCACUGAUGGAGGUUCCCAUUGAUGGAGGUUCCCACUGGUGGAUGUUCCCCACUGAUGGAGGUUCCCCAUUGAUGGAGGUUCCCCACUGAUGGAGGUUCCCACUGAUGAAGGCUCCCAUUGAUGGAGGCUCCCCAGCGCAGCCCCCCACCCUGGCAGGCUAUGGGGCAGAGCAGCACCGGGAGGAGAAGCAGUGGGGCAGCGGUGUCGGGUUUGUGCAGACGUGGAGCUGUGUGUGGGGCUGAGCCCCCCGCGCUGCCCCCCGCCUGCGCUCCCCUUCCUCUGCUUUGAUUUCUCAUUUCUCUUUUCUUGUUUCUUUUUAUGAUUUUUCCUUUCUUUUUUUUUCUUUUUCUUUGUUUCAUUUCCCCCCUUUUCCUCUUUCUUUUUAUUUAUUCUUUUUCCUCUCUUUUCCUUUUUCUCAUUUCUUUUGGCUUUUCCUUCUUUUCCUUUUUCUUCCUCAUUUUUCCUUUUGUUGCUUUUUCUUUCCAUCUUUUUUUCCUUUUUUUCCUUUCUUUCCUUUUUUCUUUUCUCACUUUUUUAGUUAUUUUCCUCUAUUUUUUCUGGUUUCUUCUUUCCUUUGAUUUUAUUUUUAUUUUUCUCUCUUUUUUUUCCCAAUUUUCUCUCCGUUUUUCUUUUUCCCAAUUUUUCUUCCCCCCCCUUUUUUCCCUCUGUUUUUUCUUCCUCCCUCUCCCUCCUCUUCCUCCCCCCCCCCCGCUCCUUUCUCUCUCUCUCCCAUUUCUCUCCGUCCCCCUCCCCAUUUUCCUCCCCUCCUCCAAAGCCGCUCCGCCAUAGCGGUGUCUCCGCACCCCAAACCCAACGGCGCACACCGCCCGUCCCGCCCCACCCCCGUUCGUUCCCGCAGCCCCACCUGCGCCCCCCCCGACCCCAAACGGCUGCAGCGGAGGAACGAAACGCCCCCG
RNAcentral lists this long non-coding RNA (2876 nucleotides) under Gallus gallus (chicken). RNAcentral's name for it is "lncRNA (ENSGALG00010026503.1)". The record is from RNAcentral. Lineage: Eukaryota; Metazoa; Chordata; Aves; Galliformes; Phasianidae.